Molecule: ribosomal RNA, 2320 nt
Filed under: Campylobacter coli
Lineage: Bacteria; Pseudomonadati; Campylobacterota; Epsilonproteobacteria; Campylobacterales; Campylobacteraceae
Description: partial 23S ribosomal RNA
Rfam family: Bacterial large subunit ribosomal RNA
Source: RNAcentral
AAUGAGCCUGCGAGUUGUGGUGUCUGGCAAGGUUAAGCAAACGCGAAGCCGUAGCGAAAGCGAGUCUGAAUAGGGCGCUUAGUCAGAUGCUGCAGACCCGAAACGAAGUGAUCUAUCCAUGAGCAAGUUGAAGCUAGUGUAAGAACUAGUGGAGGACUGAACCCAUAGGCGUUGAAAAGCCCCGGGAUGACUUGUGGAUAGGGGUGAAAGGCCAAUCAAACUUCGUGAUAGCUGGUUCUCUCCGAAAUAUAUUUAGGUAUAGCGUUGUGUCGUAAUAUAAGGGGGUAGAGCACUGAAUGGGCUAGGGCAUACACCAAUGUACCAAACCCUAUCAAACUCCGAAUACCUUAUAUGUAAUCACAGCAGUCAGGCGGCGAGUGAUAAAAUCCGUCGUCAAGAGGGAAACAACCCAGACUACCAGCUAAGGUCCCUAAAUCUUACUUAAGUGGAAAACGAUGUGAAGUUACUUAAACAACCAGGAGGUUGGCUUAGAAGCAGCCAUCCUUUAAAGAAAGCGUAAUAGCUCACUGGUCUAGUGAUUUUGCGCGGAAAAUAUAACGGGGCUAAAGUAAGUACCGAAGCUGUAGACUUAGUUUACUAAGUGGUAGGAGAGCGUUCUAUUUGCGUCGAAGGUAUACCGGUAAGGAGUGCUGGAGCGAAUAGAAGUGAGCAUGCAGGCAUGAGUAGCGAUAAUUAAUGUGAGAAUCAUUAACGCCGUAAACCCAAGGUUUCCUACGCGAUGCUCGUCAUCGUAGGGUUAGUCGGGUCCUAAGUCGAGUCCGAAAGGGGUAGACGAUGGCAAAUUGGUUAAUAUUCCAAUACCAACAUUAGUGUGCGAUGGAAGGACGCUUAGGGCUAAGGGGGCUAGCGGAUGGAAGUGCUAGUCUAAGGUCGUAGGAGGUUAUACAGGCAAAUCCGUAUAACAAUACUCCGAGAACUGAAAGGCUUUUUGAAGUCUUCGGAUGGAUAGAAGAACCCCUGAUGCCGUCGAGCCAAGAAAAGUUUCUAAGUUUAGCUAAUGUUGCCCGUACCGUAAACCGACACAGGUGGGUGGGAUGAGUAUUCUAAGGCGCGUGGAAGAACUCUCUUUAAGGAACUCUGCAAAAUAGCACCGUAUCUUCGGUAUAAGGUGUGGUUCGCUUCGUAUUAGGAUUUACUCCGAAAGCGAAGAAACUUACAACAAAGAGUCCCUCCCGACUGUUUACCAAAAACACAGCACUCUGCUAACUCGUAAGAGGAUGUAUAGGGUGUGACGCCUGCCCGGUGCUCGAAGGUUAAUUGAUGGGGUUAGCAUUAGCGAAGCUCUUGAUCGAAGCCCGAGUAAACGGCGGCCGUAACUAUAACGGUCCUAAGGUAGCGAAAUUCCUUGUCGGUUAAAUACCGACCUGCAUGAAUGGCGUAACGAGAUGGGAGCUGUCUCAAAGAGGGAUCCAGUGAAAUUGUAGUGGAGGUGAAAAUUCCUCCUACCCGCGGCAAGACGGAAAGACCCCGUGGACCUUUACUACAGCUUGACACUGCUAUUUGGAUAAGAAUGUGCAGGAUAGGUGGGAGGCUUUGAGUAUAUGACGCCAGUUGUAUAUGAGCCAUUGUUGAGAUACCACUCUUUCUUAUUUGGGUAGCUAACCAGCUUGAGUUAUCCUCAAGUGGGACAAUGUCUGGUGGGUAGUUUGACUGGGGCGGUCGCCUCCCAAAUAAUAACGGAGGCUUACAAAGGUUGGCUCAGAACGGUUGGAAAUCGUUCGUAGAGUAUAAAGGUAUAAGCCAGCUUAACUGCAAGACAUACAAGUCAAGCAGAGACGAAAGUCGGUCUUAGUGAUCCGGUGGUUCUGUGUGGAAGGGCCAUCGCUCAAAGGAUAAAAGGUACCCCGGGGAUAACAGGCUGAUCUCCCCCAAGAGCUCACAUCGACGGGGAGGUUUGGCACCUCGAUGUCGGCUCAUCGCAUCCUGGGGCUGGAGCAGGUCCCAAGGGUAUGGCUGUUCGCCAUUUAAAGCGGUACGCGAGCUGGGUUCAGAACGUCGUGAGACAGUUCGGUCCCUAUCUGCCGUGGGCGUAAGAAGAUUGAAGAGAUUUGACCCUAGUACGAGAGGACCGGGUUGAACAAACCACUGGUGUAGCUGUUGUUCUGCCAAGAGCAUCGCAGCGUAGCUAAGUUUGGAAAGGAUAAACGCUGAAAGCAUCUAAGCGUGAAGCCAACUCUAAGAUGAAUCUUCUCUAAGCUCUCUAGAAGACUACUAGUUUGAUAGGCUGGGUGUGUAAUGGAUGAAAGUCCUUUAGCUGACCAGUACUAAUAGAGCGUUUGGCUUAUCUUUAAUAAAGCAU